This 121-nucleotide ribosomal RNA is filed under the name uncultured bacterium. RNAcentral's name for it is "partial 16S ribosomal RNA". It matches the Rfam family "Bacterial small subunit ribosomal RNA", at positions 628 to 748 of the family's 1533-position model. The record is from RNAcentral.
UGAAACUGGGGGUCUUGAGGGCAGGAGAGGAAAGCAGAAUUCCUGGUGUAGCGGUGAAAUGCGUAGAAAUCAGGAGGAAUACCAGUGGCGAAGGCGGCUGCCUGGACUGACCCUGACGCUG